This is a long non-coding RNA of Xenopus laevis (African clawed frog), 644 nucleotides long. RefSeq lists it as uncharacterized. NCBI's taxonomy places the organism in Eukaryota, Metazoa, Chordata, Amphibia, Anura, Pipidae. The transcript has 2 exons. The record is from RefSeq and is a predicted model, not a curated record.
AUUAUAUCCCUAUAAACGGCGCGUUCUGGCGUCAGAACGCGCCGUUUAUAAGCUUAAAGUGACAGCACUUGCAGCUGCUGCUCUCUCCCUGCAGCGUUCUCUCCACUCGUAACCCCCUCCCACCUGUCUUCCACACAUAACUCUCUUACUUUACAGGCGCGCUGCUUCUGUCUCUCUCAACUAUCGUUGCUCUUACUUUACUUUCAGGUCUCUCUCUCUCUCUCUCUCCCAGCUCCUCCGUCUCCGGUUUCCUCUUUCGCUCCGCCCACUCAUAAUGCCUCUCCUACGGAAUGCAUUUUAGGACAUGCUGCGCACAAAUACCUUUGCUGCAUGCGUUGUCCUAUGCCUAUAGCUCAUUCUCCUCCUCACAGUCUCUUGCUCCCCCUCCCACCAUGGCAAAAUCUCUCUCUCCCUCUCAUGUUCAGCUGCCCCUCCCAUCCUCCGUGUCCACAGUCUCACUCGUGUUGCUUUUCCUCAUGCUCCGUUUAAGGCAGAGCUGAUCAUCUCACCCAAGGCAGGUAAAACAAAAAAAAGCUAAACAAAAUCAAAUGGAAUACAAAUAAAAGGAACAAACAAGGGAGUACAGGCAAGCACAAAAAAAACAACAUUAAAUAAGGUGAACACACACAGGGGAAACAAACAGG